GCUGGUGUAACUCAGUUUGGUAGAGUAGGGGUUUUGUUGAGGGUCUUUACAUGAAUGAGGAUCUUCAACAAACCUCAGGUCGGGGGUUCGAAUCCUCUCACCAGCU
This 106-nucleotide transfer RNA is filed under the name marine sediment metagenome. Its description in RNAcentral is "tRNA-Thr". It matches the Rfam family "tRNA". Rfam says of the family: Transfer RNA (tRNA) molecules are approximately 80 nucleotides in length. Their secondary structure includes four short double-helical elements and three loops (D, anti-codon, and T loops). The record is from RNAcentral.